GACGAACGCUGGCGGCGUGCCUAAUACAUGCAAGUAGAACGCAGAAAAGAGGAGCUUGCUCUUCUUGGGUGAGUUGCGAACGGGCGAGUAACACGUAGAUAACCUACCUUUUAGAGGGGGAUAACUACGGGAAACGGUAGCUAAUACCGCAUAACAUUAGGAAACACAUGUCAUAUAUGUGAAAGAGGGAAUUGCUGCACUACAAGGAUGACCUGCGGUGUAUUAGCUAGUUGGUGAAGGAAACGGCCACCCAGGGGAAGAUUCCGAGCCGGCCUGAGAGGGGGAUCGGCCACACUUGGAACUGGACAACGGCCAGACUCCUACCGGAGGCAGCAGGAGGGGAUCUUCGGGAAUGGGGGCAAACCCUACCGAGCAAAGGCGGGGGAGGGAAGAAGGUUCUCGGAUCGGAAAGAUCUGUUGAUAGGGAAGAAAGAGAUUUGGAGGUGAAAGUGCACAUUGUGACGGUACCUUACCAGAAAGCGACGGCUAACUACGUG
This 497-nucleotide ribosomal RNA is filed under the name uncultured bacterium. RNAcentral's name for it is "partial 16S ribosomal RNA". It matches the Rfam family "Bacterial small subunit ribosomal RNA", at positions 28 to 507 of the family's 1533-position model. The record is from RNAcentral.